This 280-nucleotide ribosomal RNA is filed under the name uncultured bacterium. RNAcentral's name for it is "partial 16S ribosomal RNA". It matches the Rfam family "Bacterial small subunit ribosomal RNA", at positions 338 to 615 of the family's 1533-position model. The record is from RNAcentral.
CCUACGGGGGGCAGCAGUGAGGAAUAUUGGUCAAUGGGCGCGAUCCUGAACCAGCCAAGCCGCGUGAAGGAUGACUGCCCUACGGGUUGUAAACUUCUUUUAUAAAGGAAUAAAGUGCGGCACGCGUGCCUUUUUGCAUGUACUUUAUGAAUAAGGAUCGGCUAACUCCGUGCCAGCAGCCGCGGUAAUACGGAGGAUCCGAGCGUUAUCCGGAUUUAUUGGGUUUAAAGGGAGCGUAGAUGGGUUGUUAAGUCAGUUGUGAAAGUUUGCGGCUCAACCG